This is a long non-coding RNA of Musa acuminata AAA Group (dessert banana), 1701 nucleotides long. RefSeq lists it as uncharacterized. The transcript has 3 exons. Lineage: Eukaryota; Viridiplantae; Streptophyta; Magnoliopsida; Zingiberales; Musaceae. The record is from RefSeq and is a predicted model, not a curated record.
CUGUGGUAUUGGCGUCUCGCUGGGUGACGCCUCUCAGCUUAUCCAUUUCCGCCCUCCCCUCCGCCUCCUCCUCCUCCUCCUCGGGGUUUUUGCACGAGAACGCUUAAUUCCGUCGGAUCGAAGCGUCUUUACGUCGUGUUAGGACCCGAUUAGGACGUGGGAUCUCGAUUCCCCCGGAGGAAUCUCUUCAUACGGAAUCUUGCUCCAAGAGGGUUUAGAUUAAAAUUCCUCCCUUUUGUUUCGGUUUAUCCCAAUGAUGGAUCGCGUGAGAGAGAAGUGACAUGAGUCCUUGAUGAUUGGCCGCCGGAUGAUCUGGUGAAGCCUUACCACGGGGAUCUCCGGAUGCAGUUCGAGCAGGAGCAGGUUCUUGAGGCGCAUUACAAUACCGGCGAUGAUCCGUCCGAGGGUACCCCCAGCUUUGUUCGGUGUGGCAUCAGUGUGAAUGCAACACCACAUAUGCGCCGCGGACCUGAAGGACCAAGGACUCUUUGUAAUGCAUGUGGGAUUGCUCGGACGAAGAUCUGCACCAGAAACUCGCUUGAAUAAGCAGAUUGCAAUCUCAGCUUCUCAAAUUGCAUGUUGGUUCUUACUAUCCAAGCAAACCAAAGAGGAUGGAUGGAUUAGUGAAAAAGAGCCAAUCAUUCAGCAGCAAGUUGGAUUCAUAAAGCAUGUCAAACAAUUUGGAUUAUUUUGGAGCUGGUACUAGAAUCCACAACCAAAUCCAACAUAUAAGACAGAUGCUUUAUAACAAUGUCAGCGUGAAAUUUACUCAAUCGCACUUUAUAGUGACUGUUUGUAUUCUAAAUUUAUGGAUGCCUAUGAUUCAGAUUGUAUAUUAUGAGCAAUCUUGUUCUGAUAUCAUUAUGUUGGAAUCAGCUGCAAACAUGCAGUCCCAACCAUUAUUUCAGUGGUGAGUGGUCCCAUGUGAACAAUCAAUCAGAUCAGUGAUCAAGUCCAUCGAGACACAGACAACUCCCACCACCUGGAUCAUCUGAGUUUGCUUUGCUUGUUUUAGUAGUUUAAAAUUCUUAUAUAAAAUGAUUUAAGCCAGUUAUCCAAAUUCAGAUGAUGAGUUGCCUUUUCUCCAAAAGAGUAUCAACUGGCAUAUCUUUUAUAAUUUGUUUUUUCUGUUCAGGUUGUGUCAUAAGCUCAUGGACCAAGGUCUUAGGUAGCAAGAAGAAUUUCCUUAGAAGUGCCUUGAGAUAGGCAUUGAGAAAAAUUUUGUAUCAUAAGCAACUAUUGUUUGGGUAAAGUAAGAUGGUACAAUGAGUUCAUGCAAAUUCUAGGUAGACUACCUCUAUUAUGGUUAUCAUUCAUGUUGUCAUGGAGAGUAAGGUCAUAAUUUGGCUGUAUGCUGUGUGCAUUUUCUGUUAAAUAGUCAGCCAUACUCUGAAUCAGAGGAACAUGUAUAUGGCAUCCAAUCUUGGCAUUCGACUGGUCAUUAUAUAGAUUAGUGAGCUCUCCUAUUUGGGUUUUGCCAUCGGCGGCAAAUAUCAAAGUUAUUUGCAAAUCUGAUUUAAUUGCUCUUGUUACUGGAUUGAACUACUCAGUACUCCCUACUUUAGAUCGCAUUGAUUUCUAGAACAUUUAAUCUCUCUGAUCUAGUGUUCAGGUGAAACUACAGAUAGAUUUGACUGGAUUCACUAGAGAAGCAUGAACUUUCACCGACUGAUCCAGUUGGAACAACUUGGUUGCUCUCUU